Molecule: small nuclear RNA, 199 nt
Organism: Dendrobium catenatum
Lineage: Eukaryota; Viridiplantae; Streptophyta; Magnoliopsida; Asparagales; Orchidaceae
Product: U2 spliceosomal RNA
Exons: 1
Source: RefSeq, a predicted model, not a curated record
UUAGUUAACCCUUUUGGCUAAGAUCAAUUGUAGUAUAUAUUAAUCUUAUCAGUUUAAUAUAUGAUAUGUGGGCCAUCGGUCCACUAUGAUAUUAAUUAAAUUAAUUUUGUUGGGGAAGAGCUCAUCUUAGUAGCUUGCUAUUGGGCCUCUUAGGCAUCGCUCAUGCAUUGCACUAUUUCGUGAGCAUGGCGCACCCCUG